GGGCGCUUAGCUCAGUUGGUUAGAGCACUACGUUUACACCGUAGGGGUCAGGGGUUCGAGUCCCUUAGCGCCCA
RNAcentral lists this transfer RNA (74 nucleotides) under Cellulomonadaceae bacterium. Its description in RNAcentral is "tRNA-Val". It matches the Rfam family "tRNA". From Rfam's summary of the family: Transfer RNA (tRNA) molecules are approximately 80 nucleotides in length. Their secondary structure includes four short double-helical elements and three loops (D, anti-codon, and T loops). Further hydrogen bonds mediate the characteristic L-shaped molecular structure. tRNAs have two regions of fundamental functional importance: the anti-codon, which is responsible for specific mRNA codon recognition, and the 3' end, to which the tRNAs corresponding amino acid is attached (by aminoacyl-tRNA synthetases). tRNAs cope with the degeneracy of the genetic code in two manners: having more than one tRNA (with a specific anti-codon) for a particular amino acid; and 'wobble' base-pairing, i.e. permitting non-standard base-pairing at the 3rd anti-codon position. The record is from RNAcentral. Lineage: Bacteria; Bacillati; Actinomycetota; Actinomycetes; Micrococcales; Cellulomonadaceae.